RNAcentral lists this ribosomal RNA (460 nucleotides) under uncultured bacterium. RNAcentral describes it as "partial 16S ribosomal RNA". It matches the Rfam family "Bacterial small subunit ribosomal RNA", at positions 338 to 795 of the family's 1533-position model. The record is from RNAcentral.
CCUACGGGCGGCAGCAGUGAGGAAUAUUGGUCAAUGGACGAGAGUCUGAACCAGCCAAGUAGCGUGAAGGAUGACUGCCCUAUGGGUUGUAAACUUCUUUUAUAUGGGAAUAAAAUGUUCCACGUGUGGGAUUUUGUAUGUACCAUAUGAAUAAGGAUCGGCUAACUCCGUGCCAGCAGCCGCGGUAAUACGGAGGAUCCGAGCGUUAUCCGGAUUUAUUGGGUUUAAAGGGAGCGUAGGUGGAUUGUUAAGUCAGUUGUGAAAGUCUGCGGCUCAACCGUAACAUUGCAGUUGAAACUGGCAGUCUUGAGUACAGUAGAGGUGGGCGGAAUGCGUGGUGUAGCGGUGAAAUGCUUAGAUAUCACGAAGAACUCCGAUUGCGAAGGCAGUUCACUGGACUGCAACUGACACUGAGGCUCGAAAGUGUGGGUAUCAAACAGGAUUAGAUACCCGGGUAGUC